GAUGAACGCUGGCGGCGUGCCUAAUACAUGCAAGUCGAGCGAACAGACGAGGAGCUUGCUCCUCUGACGUUAGCGGCGGACGGGUGAGUAACACGUGGAUAACCUACCUAUAAGACUGGGAUAACUUCGGGAAACCGGAGCUAAUACCGGAUAAUAUAUUGAACCGCAUGGUUCAAUAGCGAAAGACGGUUUUGCUGUCACUUAUAGAUGGAUCCGCGCCGCAUUAGCUAGUUGGUAAGGUAACGGCUUACCAAGGCAACGAUGCGUAGCCGACCUGAGAGGGUGAAUGGCCAAACUGGAACUGAGACAAGGUCCAGACUCCUACGGGAGGGCACAGGUGGGAAUCUUCCGCAAUGGGCGAAAGCUUGACGGAGCAACGCCGCGUGAGUGAUGAAGGUCUUCGGAUCGUAAAACUCUGUUAUUAGGGAAGAACAAAUGUGUAAGUAACUAUGCACGUCUUGACGGUACCUAAUCAGAAAGCCACGGCUAACUACGUG
Molecule: ribosomal RNA, 497 nt
Filed under: uncultured bacterium
Lineage: Bacteria
Description: partial 16S ribosomal RNA
Rfam family: Bacterial small subunit ribosomal RNA
Source: RNAcentral